AUUGAACGCUGGCGGAAUGCUUUACACAUGCAAGUCGAACGGCAGCACGGACUUCGGUCUGGUGGCGAGUGGCGAACGGGUGAGUAAUGUAUCGGAACGUGCCCAGUCGUGGGGGAUAGCGUAGCGAAAGUUACGCUAAUACCGCAUACGAUCUACGGAUGAAAGCGGGGGACCGUAAGGCCUCGCGCGAUUGGAGCGGCCGAUGUCAGAUUAGGUAGUUGGUGAGGUAAAGGCUCACCAAGCCGACGAUCUGUAGCUGGUCUGAGAGGACGACCAGCCACACUGGGACUGAGACACGGCCCAGACUCCUACGGGAGGCAGCAGUGGGGAAUUUUGGACAAUGGGCGCAAGCCUGAUCCAGCCAUUCCGCGUGCAGGACGAAGGCCUUCGGGUUGUAAGCUGCUUUUGUACGGAACGAAAAGGCUCUGGUUAAUACCUGGGGCUCAUGACGGUACCGUAAGAAUAAGCACCGGCUAACUACGUGCCAGCCGCCGCCGUAA
This 500-nucleotide ribosomal RNA is filed under the name uncultured bacterium. RNAcentral describes it as "partial 16S ribosomal RNA". It matches the Rfam family "Bacterial small subunit ribosomal RNA", at positions 30 to 523 of the family's 1533-position model. The record is from RNAcentral.